Hippopotamus amphibius kiboko is the source of this 72-nucleotide non-coding RNA. The record is from the annotation of a RefSeq genome assembly. Lineage: Eukaryota; Metazoa; Chordata; Mammalia; Artiodactyla; Hippopotamidae.
UCCCUGGUGGUCUAGUGGGCAGGACGCUAUGCUUUUACUGUGGUGGCCCAGGUUCGACCCCUGGUCGGGGAA